RNAcentral lists this ribosomal RNA (495 nucleotides) under uncultured Flavobacteriia bacterium. RNAcentral describes it as "bacterial SSU rRNA". Lineage: Bacteria; Pseudomonadati; Bacteroidota; Flavobacteriia. The record is from RNAcentral.
UGUUGGUCAAUGGAGGAAACUCUGAACCAGCCAUGCCGCGUGAAGGAUGACGGCCCUAUGGGUURUAAACUUCUUUUGUAGAGGAAGAAACUUGUCUACGUGUAGACAACUGACGGUACUCUAAGAAUAAGGAUCGGCUAACUCCGUGCCAGCAGCCGCGGUAAUACGGAGGRUCCAAGCGUUAUCCGGAUUCAUUGGGUUUAAAGGGUCCGUAGGCGGAUGUUUAAGUCAGUGGUGAAAGCCGACAGCUCAACUGUCGAACUGCCAUUGAUACUGGAAAUCUUGAGUAMAAAUGAAGUAGGCGGAAUGAGUCAUGUAGCGGUGAAAUGCAUAGAUAUGAMUCAGAACACCGAUUGCGAAGGCAGCUUACUAACAUGUAACUGACGSUGAGGGACGAAAGCGGGGGGAGCGAACAGGAUUAGAUACCSUGGUAGUCCACGCCGUAAACGAUCAUCACUCGCUGUUGGCGAUAUACUGUCAGCGGCCAAGCGAAAG